GCGGGGGUCGCCAAUCCAACAGGGGCAAGGUCUGGUCAACGGCGCAGGGUUCAGGACCCUGUCCCGUAGGGGUUCGUGGGUUCAAAUCCCACCCCCCGCA
Molecule: transfer RNA, 100 nt
Filed under: archaeon
Lineage: Archaea
Also listed under: 3 other names
Description: tRNA-Leu
Rfam family: tRNA
About the family: Transfer RNA (tRNA) molecules are approximately 80 nucleotides in length. Their secondary structure includes four short double-helical elements and three loops (D, anti-codon, and T loops).
Source: RNAcentral